Molecule: long non-coding RNA, 1575 nt
Organism: Nicotiana attenuata
Lineage: Eukaryota; Viridiplantae; Streptophyta; Magnoliopsida; Solanales; Solanaceae
Exons: 4
Source: RefSeq, a predicted model, not a curated record
AAUACAUGUUUGUAAUUGUUCCUGAUUUGCACACAUCUACUAUGCUUUCUUGAUAAAAUUUAUGUUUUGCUACCAACUAAUCAUUGUUAGGAGACUUGUUCUUUUUGAUAUUUGAGAAUAUAGUUAACCACUCCUACUGUCUGCUUUACUUUGGAAAUCUUUUUAUAAGUGAAUUUGUGUUUCAUUCCAUAGAACUAAACUAACACAUUCUCCUUCCUAUACUUCAAAUGAAAAUUGGAUGUUUUCACACGUUAAUGCACUGUGUUUGUGGUGGUGAGAUUUUUCUGUUAGACACAAAGUUAGCUUAGACAUGAAAUGUUUGGGAUAUCUUAUUAGUUGCAUAGGGAUUGAUUAUGGGAUUUCAUAGUGGGAAUACUCUUUUGAACUGUUGGGUGCAGCUCACUCUGUUUCGACCGAUGUCAAAAGUGCUGGUGUUAUAAGAGCUGCAUCAGGACUUGUAAAAACAGUCCUUGCCAAGUACGAGCCUUUCACCAACGGACUUUACACCAAGUACGAGCCAAUGACUGAGCAAAAUGCAACAUCAACUUGGUUCUCUCAAAACCAAAUUGCCAUUUUUCCUAGGGGUGUCGUUCUUUUUGCUAAAGUUCAUACUCUUUCUUCUUUUCCUCUUCUAAAUCGUGCUGCUUAGUUGUUCUAUAAUCUAACCUUUGCAAAAUCAAAGACUAAGGUCUUUCUAUUUAUGCAGCACCCAGAUGAUAGGAUAUCUUUGCCGCAAGAUGUUGUCCUUCGCAUUCAACCCCGAAUUUUUAGGGGCUGCACCUGAGAACAAGGACAAUGUUAUGAUUGCAAAACUUUUACUGUUCUCAAAUCAAAUCGGAUGCCUCUUGGAUAAAGGUGGCAAUAUACUAGAUGAAAUGAGCGAGUCAACUGCAACCUAUAUUCGUAUUGUAGGCAAGGAUCAAACCCCAAAGUUCGUGUCAGAAAAUGAAGUAAAAGUUUAGAGAUUGGGUGAAGGUCGGAGCUUCCCAGACUAUGCAGGAGGUCCUUCAAGUAUUGGUGAAUUUCGAGGACGAAGUCAUCCAGCUGUGACCACAAGCACUACUGUGGAAGUAGUUGUACCUCGAUCUGUCCUUCCUGCAAUCCAUGGAGAAGGCGGAGGAUGUUUUCGACAAAUAUGUAAGGCCUGGAGCAACAGAGACUAUUAUCAUUAUAUUUAGGACGCCUGAGUGGACUAUUGCUGCUCAAAGUCUCAUUUAAACCUUUGUAAUGGUCAAGACUGAAGCUGCUUGAUUAGUAGAGGUGAGGUAUUAUGUCGAUCUUGUAUACUUUUAAAUUGAAUGGCCUUUCUUUUCAGAAGCUAUGUGAAUGGAGAAUUGUUAGUUAUGCUCCCUGGAGAGCAGUGUAGAUGCUCCUUUUUUUAUACUUGUAUCGAUGUGAAUUCGAAAAACAUUGUUAACUUAUUCCAGAAGACUUAUCGUUAUGGUGUUCUGCACAUUGCUGAAGCUUUAGUUUGCGGUGACAGCUCUUGACAAAAGAAGAAUGGAAAAAAUGCAUGUUAGAGUAUCAGAAGUAUUACUAGUUGGCUAACAAAUUCAGAUGCUCUCCAAAUGUUAA